Molecule: long non-coding RNA, 337 nt
Organism: Melitaea cinxia (Glanville fritillary)
Lineage: Eukaryota; Metazoa; Arthropoda; Insecta; Lepidoptera; Nymphalidae
Exons: 2
Source: RefSeq, a predicted model, not a curated record
AUCUGUCAGCAGCACUAGCCCGUUCAGCGGCGGCGGCCUCGCGACCAGCGGCAGCAGCGCGGCGCCACGCGGCCAGAGCGCCGCUGCGUUCAGCCGCCAGGGCACGGACCAAACGUUGCAGACAUUUCUGGACGCGAGAGCGCGUGUAGCAGGCGAGUGCGGUGCGGCGGCGUUGAGCGAGGUGUGCGAGGACACGCUGCUGGUGGAGGGCGGCGAGCCGACGGCGUUCCGAUACGCCCUCCUCCUCCAGCGACUGUUGAGAAUAUAACAUUUUUUAAGAUUCCGUAUCAAAUGACAAAGUGAACCUAUUGAUUUCAUUAAAUUCUCCUCUACAUUC